RNAcentral lists this unclassified non-coding RNA (942 nucleotides) under Hevea brasiliensis (rubber tree). Lineage: Eukaryota; Viridiplantae; Streptophyta; Magnoliopsida; Malpighiales; Euphorbiaceae. The record is from RNAcentral.
AAUAAAACAACGACAUUUCCUUGCACAAAGAUGUCCAAAAGUAAGAGCAAAUAUAAUAAUUACAAAUUAGCCCUGGGUACCCCAAAAAUACUUCAUAGAAUUAACAAUUCUCUCAUUGAAUGAGUGGUAAGUGCACUCCACAUUCCUGGAAAGGCUGGAGUAGGAAUUCUGAACGGAGAUAAGUUUGUUGGCCGUGCAAAUACCUUCCUGCUUAAUACUUUUCACUGAAAUAUGAAGCUUACCGAUACUUGUGUUGGUUUCCUUCUGGAGGAAAAAGACCUUUUAAAUAGCAUCAUGAUGUGUCUCUAGUCCACGCUCCACAGCCACGAGAUGAGUUUUGAGUUCGUCGGCAUCCUUGAGUAGAUUAUUGGCAGAGUCUGCAGAGAUCUUAAUUGGUUUUGCUUCUUCCACCCUUUAUUGGACCGUGUCUUUCUUGACCCAUCUAUUGCCCAUCUCGACAUAGCCCAUACUUGAAAAGAUACGGGAGUCAUAGGUAGAGUUUAUCACAAUGGUCUUGUACGAAGAGAUAUCAAUGAGACGGUCCACAACUAUUCACGAUAUAAGCAAUCCAUACGGUAAACGCACCGAGGGAUUUGUUUCCUCAGAACAUUCCCACAUGUACUCCUUAAACCAUUGAGCCUAGUUGAUUAUGUAUUUUUUGAGCAAGCAGUAUAGCACAAAUAUAUCUCUACUCAAGAUGUUACUUAGGGAUCCCUUCCUAGGAAGUAAUGUAGUAACUAUGUGAGCCAGGAUGCAAUUUUCAAAGCAAAGAUCCAGAGGACCAAAAUCAGACAACUUGGAUUCUGGUUUGGCCACAGCAGCUUUAGCCUCUUCUAGGGUUACUUCAAAAUCAGUAGGGUAAGAACCAUUCAUGAAAGGAAUAACACCAAAAAAAUUUUGUACCAAAGACGUCUGCAAACGAUGGUUCACUUAUAACAAGAA